AAAGGGAGAGCAGCAGCGGACGGGUGAGUAAAGCACAAGGACUUGUCCCGAAGAGGGGGACAACUGUGGGAAACCACAGCUAAUACCCCAUAAGCCGAGAGGUGAAAGCAGUAAUGCGCUUUAGGAGAGACUUGUGUCCUAUCAGGUAGUUGGUGAGGUAACGGCUCACCAAGCCCGAAGACGGGUAGCCGGACUGAGAGGGUUGUACGGCCACAUUGGAACUGAGAGACGGUCCAGACUCCUACGGGAGGCAGCAGUGGGGAAUAUUGGGCAAUGGGGGGCCAACCCUGACCCAGCGACGCCGCGUGGGGGAAGACAGCCUUCGGGUUGUAAACCUCUGUUGCAGGGGAAGAAGAAAGUGACGGUACCCUGCGAGGAAGCUCCGGCAAACUACGUGCCAGCCGCCGC
RNAcentral lists this ribosomal RNA (408 nucleotides) under uncultured bacterium. RNAcentral describes it as "bacterial SSU rRNA". It matches the Rfam family "Bacterial small subunit ribosomal RNA", at positions 83 to 518 of the family's 1533-position model. The record is from RNAcentral.